AAAAAAAUUUGAGUCGACAGCCCAUGCAGUUGCGAGAUUAGAUUCUCGGCGUCAGGCUGAGUAACACGUGGAUCAUUUACCUUAAGGCGGGGAAUAACCUCGGGAAACUGAGGAUACCCUCCCAUAGGCAACGGAUACUGGAAUGUUCCAUUGCCGAAAGCUCCGGCGCCUUAGGAUGAGUCCGCGGCAGAUUAGGUAGUUGGUAGGGUAAUGGCCUACCAAGCCAGUGAUCUGUAGGGGCCGUGAGAGCGGGAGCCCCCAGACGGGAACUGAGACAAGGUCCCGAGCCCUACGGGGUGCAGCAGGCGCGCAACCUCCGCAAUGCCCGCAAGGGUGACGGGGGGACUCCAAGUGCUUCAGAUUUAUCUGGAGCUUUUCUGAAGCGUAAAUAACUUCAGGAAUAAAGGCUGGGUAAGACCGGUGCCAGCCGCCGCGGUAACACCGGCGGCCUUAGUGGUGGCCACUUUUAUUGGGCCUAAAGCGUUCGUAGCCGGGGGCACAAGUCUCUAUGUAAAUCAGGCGGCUUAACCGUCUGAAUUGUAGUGAUACUGUGUCCCUUGGAGCUGGGAGGAGGCAUGAGUACUCCAGGGGUAAGGGUGGAAUCUACUGAUCCCUGGGGGACUACCUGUGGCGAAGGCGCAUGCCUAGAACAGACUCGACGGUGAGGGACGAAACCCUGGGGAGCGAACGGGAUUAGAUACCCCGGUAGUCCAGGGCGUAAACGAUGCCCGCUUGGUGUUGCGCACUCUACGAGGGUGUGCAGGGCCGUAUUGUAGAUGUUUAGCGGGCCCCCUGGGGAGUAUGGUCGCAAGGCUGAAAUUCAAAGGAAUUGACGGAA
This 838-nucleotide ribosomal RNA is filed under the name uncultured archaeon. Its description in RNAcentral is "bacterial SSU rRNA". It matches the Rfam family "Archaeal small subunit ribosomal RNA", at positions 31 to 873 of the family's 1478-position model. The record is from RNAcentral.